GAUGAAGAAACGCAGCGAAAUGCGAUAAGUAAUGUGAAUUGCAGAAUUCAGUGAAUCAUCGAAUCUUUGAACGCAUAUUGCGCCCCUUGGUUAUUCCGGGGGGCACACCUGUUCGAGCGUCAUUACAACACUCAAGCACCGCUUGGUAUUGGGCGCCGCCUUCUACGGGCGCCGCCUUAAACUCCUCGGCGUCGCCGUCCGUCUUUAAGCGCAGCGAGAUUUUUCCAGCGCCUUUAAAGCCGGGCCUCGUCCGCCGGAUAACGUCUUAUCUCUUCAAGGUUGACCUCGGAUCAGGUGGGGAUACCCGCUGAACUUAAGCAUAUCAAUAAGCGGAGGA
Molecule: unclassified non-coding RNA, 337 nt
Filed under: soil metagenome
Description: partial contains 5.8S ribosomal RNA, internal transcribed spacer 2, and large subunit ribosomal RNA
Rfam family: 5.8S ribosomal RNA (bases 1-122)
Source: RNAcentral